Molecule: ribosomal RNA, 259 nt
Filed under: uncultured bacterium
Lineage: Bacteria
Description: partial 16S ribosomal RNA
Rfam family: Bacterial small subunit ribosomal RNA
Source: RNAcentral
UUGGCCCUACGGGAGGCAGCAGUUAGGAAUAUUCGUCAAUGGGGGAAACCCUGAACGAGCAAUGCCGCGUGAACGAUGACGGUGCUCUGGAUUGUACAGUUCUGUUGUUUGGGAAGAACGGCUCUAAUAGGAAAUGAUUAGAGAUUGACUGUACCAUUCAAGAAAGCCACGGCUAACUACGUGCCAGCAGCCGCGGUAAUACGUAGGUGGCGAGCGUUAUCCGGAUUUAUUGGUCGUAAAGCGUCCGCAGCCGGUUUAU